AGAGUUUGCUUAUGGCUCAGGAUGAACGCUAGCGGCAGGCUUAAUACAUGCAAGUCGGACGGCAGCACGGGCAGCAAUCUGGUGGCGAGUGGCGCACGGGUGCUAACACGUAUGCAACCUACCCUGUACCGGGACACAACCCUCCGAAAGGGGGCUAAUAUCCCAUGACAUUGCGGAUGGGCAUCCAUUUGCAAUUAAAGAUUCAUUGGUACAGGAUGGGCAUGCGUCCCAUUAGCUAGUUGGAGGGGUAACGGCCCACCAAGGCGACGAUGGGUAGGGGUUCUGAGAGGAAGGUCCCCCACACUGGUACUGAGACACGGACCAGACUCCUACGGGAGGCAGCAGUAAGGAAUAUUGGGCAAUGGUCGGAAGACUGACCCAGCCAUGCCGCGUGCAGGAAGACGGCCCUAUGGUUGUAAACUGCUUUUGUCGGGGAAUAAACCUGCCCACGUGCUGACUGAAGGUACCCGGCGAAUAAGCAUCGGCUAACUCCGUGCCAGCAGCCGCGGUAAUACGGAGGAUGCAAGCGUUAUCCGGAUUCACUGGGUUUAAAGGGUGCGCAGGCGGGAUGAUAAGUCAGAGGUGAAAUCCUACGGCUCAACUGUAGAACUGCCUUUGAUACUGUCGUUCUUGAGUAAAGUUGGAGUGGGCGGAAUGUGUUGUGUAGCGGUGAAAUGCUUAGAUAUAACACAGAGCACCGAUCGCGAAGGCAGCUCACUAAGCUUUAACUGACGCUCAUGCACGAAAGCGUGGGGAUCAAACAGGAUUAGAUACCCUGGUAGUCCACGCUGUAAACGAUGAUCACUCGCUGUUGGCGAUACACUGCCAGUGGCUAAGCGAAAGUGAUAAGUGAUCCACCUGGGGAGUACGAUCGCAAGAUUGAAACUCAAAGGAAUUGACGGGGGCCCGCACAAGCGGAGGAGCAUGUGGUUUAAUUCGAUGAUACGCGAGGAACCUUACCAGGGCUCGAACGCGGGGGGAAUCACGUGGAAACGCGUGAGCCAGCAAUGGCCGCCUGCGAGGUGCUGCAUGGUUGUCGUCAGCUCGUGCCGUGAGGUGUCAGGUUAAGUCCUAUAACGAGCGCAACCCCUAUCCUUAGUUGCCAGCAAGUAAAGUUGGGGACUCUAAGGAAACUGCCUACGCAAGUAGUGAGGAAGGUGGGGAUGACGUCAAAUCAGCACGGCCCUUAUGUCCUGGGCUACACACGUGCUACAAUGGUCGGUACAGAGGGCAGCUACCGGGCGACCGGAUGCUAAUCUCGAAAGCCGAUCUCAGUUCGGAUCGGAGUCUGCAACCCGACUCCGUGAAGUUGGAUUCGCCAGUAAUCGCACAUCAGCCAUGGCGCGGUGAAUACGUUCCCGGGCCUUGUACACACCGCCCGUCAAGCCAUGGGAGCUGGGGGGACCUAAAGUUCGUGACCGAAUAGGAGCGACCUAGGGUAAAAUCAGUGACUGGGGCUAAGUCGUAACAAGGUAACC
This 1478-nucleotide ribosomal RNA is filed under the name uncultured bacterium. Its description in RNAcentral is "16S ribosomal RNA". It matches the Rfam family "Bacterial small subunit ribosomal RNA". The record is from RNAcentral.